This is a non-coding RNA of Ictidomys tridecemlineatus (thirteen-lined ground squirrel), 531 nucleotides long. NCBI's taxonomy places the organism in Eukaryota, Metazoa, Chordata, Mammalia, Rodentia, Sciuridae. The record is from RefSeq and is a predicted model, not a curated record.
GCUGCCGGGAGACUCUGCUUCCGGGCCCAGACCCAACCCUGAGAGUGUCUUCUGACUACUUGCGCGUGACCCCAUCAAACUCCCAGGGCGCCCGGGGUGCACUGCCCUUCCCAAAUUGCCUUCAGAGACUUGAGAACUUUGUGCAAUGGAGUGGCCCUGGAAUUGGGAAACACCACAGAUAAAAUAAGAAGCAUGAGGAUGCCUGUGUUGGAUGCCUGGACAACCAGCAGGGAUAAUAUCCCUGUGGCCAUCUUCCAUUGGACCAGCUGUUCCUACUUCUGAGCAGUGACCACAACUCUGAGCUCCUCCUGCUGCUCUGGACAACUGUUAAGACCCAAGAACCUUUAGCGACAUGCACAUUCAGCCAGGAGAGGGCGCACAAGCACCAAUUUUAUUCACUUUUUGGGAGUGGCCCCAAAAGUGCCAUUGGUGACACUCCUCCAAAGAAGGGAUUCUGAAAGUUCAGAAAGGAGUUUUUCACUGUUUUUUUUCUCUUCUGCCAAUAUUAACUAGUAAACAGAAAUAAAACUA